Molecule: ribosomal RNA, 253 nt
Filed under: uncultured bacterium
Lineage: Bacteria
Description: partial 16S ribosomal RNA
Rfam family: Bacterial small subunit ribosomal RNA
Source: RNAcentral
UACAUAGGUGGCAAGCGUUGUUCGGAAUUAUUGGGCGUAAAGCGCGCGCAGGCGGUCCUUUAAGUCUGAUGUGAAAGCCCACGGCUCAACCGUGGAGGGUCAUUGGAAACUGGGGGACUUGAGUACAGAAGAGAAGAGUGGAAUUCCACGUGUAGCGGUGAAAUGCGUAGAGAUGUGGAGGAACACCAGUGGCGAAGGCGACUCUUUGGUCUGUAACUGACGCUGAGGCGCGAAAGCGUGGGGAGCAAACAGG